RNAcentral lists this ribosomal RNA (551 nucleotides) under uncultured Prolixibacter sp. Its description in RNAcentral is "bacterial SSU rRNA". It matches the Rfam family "Bacterial small subunit ribosomal RNA", at positions 357 to 908 of the family's 1533-position model. The record is from RNAcentral. Lineage: Bacteria; Pseudomonadati; Bacteroidota; Bacteroidia; Marinilabiliales; Prolixibacteraceae.
AGGAAUAUUGGUCAAUGGGCGAGAGCCUGAACCAGCCAUCCCGCGUGCAGGAUGACGGCCCUACGGGUUGUAAACUGCUUUUCUGCAAGAAGAAUGGUCAUUACGCGUAGUGAUUUGACGGUAUUGCAGGAAUAAGCAUCGGCUAACUCCGUGCCAGCAGCCGCGGUAAUACGGAGGAUGCAAGCGUUAUCCGGAUUCAUUGGGUUUAAAGGGUGCGUAGGCGGCUAUAUAAGUCAGUGGUGAAAUGCUGCAGCUCAACUGUAGAACUGCCAUUGAAACUGUAUAGCUUGAGUGCGCCUGAGGUAGGCGGAAUGAGUAGUGUAGCGGUGAAAUGCUUAGAUAUUACUCAGAACACCGAUUGCGAAGGCAGCUUACUAAAUCGUAACUGACGCUGAUGCACGAAAGCGUGGGGAGCGAACAGGAUUAGAUACCCUGGUAGUCCACGCCGUAAACGAUGAUAACUCGCUGUUGGCGAUACACAGUCAGCGGCUGAGCGAAAGCAUUAAGUUAUCCACCUGGGGAGUACGAUCGCAAGGUUGAAACUCAAAGGA